This 231-nucleotide unclassified non-coding RNA is filed under the name Hevea brasiliensis (rubber tree). The record is from RNAcentral. Lineage: Eukaryota; Viridiplantae; Streptophyta; Magnoliopsida; Malpighiales; Euphorbiaceae.
CAUGGAUACACAGCCAAGAGUCCUGCAAUCAUUAAUUUGCUGGAGAUUAUGGGAGAAUUCACACCUGAGCAGCAGCGUGCCUUUUGCCAGUUCGUUACAGGUGCACCAAGGUUACCACCUGGUGGUCUAGCAGUACUCAAUCCAAAGUUAACAAUUGUGAGGAAGCAUUCUUCAUCUGCAGGGAAUGUGGUAGCAAAUGGAGCUGGGCCUUCAGAAUCAGCAGAUGAUGAC